UAUGAAAGCAAUCAUGUCGGCCAUUGUAAAGAAACCUCUUAAUCCAAGCUAACAAAGUCUAUAUGUCCGAAAACGUUUUACAAGAUCUUGUCGCUUUCCUAUAAACACUCUGUCUUUAUUCGUGCUAAUUGUUGAUUGAUUUAUUGAAUCUUACCAUUGUUUUUUUUCAGCUGCGAAGAAAGUAUGGAGACGCUGUCGUCGUAGUAAGUAUUCUGAUAUGCGUAUAAUUCACGCAACGUCAUGAUGAGACCUUAAAAGGCAUCUCGAAGCAGUUGGAAAAAAAUAGCGCUAAUUUUAGUGCCGUCUUUUAAUAUCUCUUGAAAAAUAUACUCGACUUCUCUCAAACAAGUUUUAUUUGAAUAUUCUAUCUUAGCAUGACUUUUGCGUAAAAUUUUAUGUAAAUAACUUAUCGCUGUGAGGAGCAAUUGGCAAUUUGAAGUGAAGAGAUAGCUCGCAGCUCCUUCGAGAAUCCUUAAAUUUAACAUUAGCCAUGCAAUUAUCCUCACAUGGGAUGAAUUAAUAACUUUACAUUGCUAUAAUUUUACGAUGCAGUUCAUAGUUUUUUGUUUGUUUGUUUAUUUUUGUCGUUAUUUUUUAGUCUAUCUAUGCUUAUAAACGAGUGUACCGAUAAAUUUAGAUAAAAAACUAUCACUUUUUACAUGUUAUUUCCAAAACUGCAAAAGUCUACAGAAAGAUUUCUUAGAAUAUUCAACACAUAUUCAACUUUCCUAUUAUAAACGCUCUGUCCUUAUUUAAGUCGUGUUGAUUGAUUUAUAAAAUCUUACUGUUGUCUUGUCAGGAAGACAAAGAAAGCGUAUCUGCCUUUAUGUUGUGGCUUAUGCAAAGAGACGCUGUCUUCGUAUGUCAUUGGUAGUGUGGCACCCGAAAUGCUAUAAAGGAUUCAGGAUUACACAUCGUGGUAAACGUUAUGCAUGCAGACGUUGCUGCUACAGUUCAUGCGUCCCAUACCGCGGUAAAGGUUGGCCUUGUUCUUUGACCGGAGGGUGCAAAACACAUUGCAAACGUAGAUAUUGAAAUAUAUCACUGUCGACAUCUCAAGAACCAUAACAUUAGAUCAAGAAGAAAACAGUGUUGCAAAAUAAUGACUUCUCCCUUUUUCCACUAAGGAAACAUCGUUUCUUCUGCAAUUGUGUAAAGGAACUUUGUACUUAAUCAACUUUGUAAUUUUAAAGAGAUAAAUUUAGAAUAA
Molecule: long non-coding RNA, 1210 nt
Organism: Exaiptasia diaphana
Lineage: Eukaryota; Metazoa; Cnidaria; Anthozoa; Actiniaria; Aiptasiidae
Exons: 3
Source: RefSeq, a predicted model, not a curated record